GGGCUGUGAUGAGUUCUUGCACAUCCUGUGGUUGAAGUUCAAUCACGACCAUCUGAUCUAACGGAUGAAAUCUCGUGCACCUGAGCUC
Neltuma alba is the source of this 88-nucleotide small nucleolar RNA. RefSeq annotates it as small nucleolar RNA snoR114. The transcript has a single exon. Lineage: Eukaryota; Viridiplantae; Streptophyta; Magnoliopsida; Fabales; Fabaceae. The record is from RefSeq and is a predicted model, not a curated record.